Long non-coding RNA from Vigna unguiculata (cowpea), 1289 nucleotides. RefSeq lists it as uncharacterized. The record is from RefSeq and is a predicted model, not a curated record. NCBI's taxonomy places the organism in Eukaryota, Viridiplantae, Streptophyta, Magnoliopsida, Fabales, Fabaceae.
UUCAUUUUCUUACUCCCCUUUUUGAAGCAAAAGCUGCGCUAGGGCAGUUACGAAAACUCUCCUCCGAGCUAGCGGAAUGUUCCUUCCUCCACCUCUAUAGUUGUUUCUGGAGCUGUAGUACCUUUCCUUUGGGGAUGACUUUUUUUACUGAGUUAACCUCUCUGUUAAGGUAAGGGAAGCUAGGGCUUUAAAAUUUUGUUUAACUGUCUUGCAUGGUUUUGGUCUUGAAUCGUGCUUAAAAUGUUGCUUUGAUGUUUAUGGUUAUGUUUUCUAUUUGUGUUGUUUGGGAUUUUUUGCAUUUGCAUGCUAAAACUAGUAAAAACCUGUUAUUCUAGCUUAAGCGAGAUCAGUCUAGCUUAAGUGAAAAUUUCUGGCUUAAGCGAGGUCAAUGUAGCUUAAGUGAGAAUUUAUAGCUUAAGCGAAAAUAACAUAAUUUCACUUUGCUCUCUGUUCGAAUUUCACUUUGCAUAAAGUAAACACACAUCCUAACCUAAAAAAGAAAAUUAAAGGAAUGAGAUGUGUGCUUAGUGAAAACGCAGGUACAUGAAGUUAUCAAAAAACUAAAUACAAGGGGUGUGGGGUUAUUACAUUGAGGAGUGCAUGUAGUAAAUAAAUAGAGCUCAAAUUAAAAGUAGGGGUGCGCAAAUUAAAUUAUGGAGGUGCAUGGAGAAAAAAUUAAAUUUGUCAACCCUAGGUCAUAAUAAAACACAACAUCUCGAACUUAACCCUUAAACUUCAUCUUCUUUCUUUCGCAAACGGCCACCACGCAAACACCCCUACUCGAGACCCACAACCAGACCACCGACGACGGUAGUAGCGGCGACAACGACAACCACUCUCGAACCUGCUAUCACCAACAACGACAACAACCAUGGAUUCGCCUCUAUCCAUACGCCUAGCCUUUUCCUCAUCGAGCCACCACUGUCCGCGAGACUACCAGCAACGACAGUGCGACCCCAAUGUCGUCCACGAUGUCAGCAACGUCAACAUAACGGCUCCUUCUCGCAUUUGUUCGCAUCAUCCCAAAAUCAAACACUUAAGGUUCAACCAUGGCACACCACUUCCCCUGCUGCGACCACUACAACAAUGCUGGCGACCACUACAAACCACUACACCAGCGCUCUUAUUCCUCCAUUUCCUUUAUUUAUUAGUUAGCCAAUUUUACUGUUUGUGUAAAAUAGAGAAUCUCUUGUUUGAUGUUCAACUUUCAAUUUAUUAUUUUUGAUCGGAAUGUCUACUGCCAUUAAUCAUACACAAUAACGAAAUAAACACAAAACAUCAUUUGGAAA